AAAUUGAAGAGUUUGAUCAUGGCUCAGAUUGAACGCUGGCGGCAGGCCUAACACAUGCAAGUCGAACGGUAACAGGAAGCAGCUUGCUGUUUCGCUGACGAGUGGCGGACGGGUGAGUAAUGUCUGGGAAACUGCCUGAUGGAGGGGGAUAACUACUGGAAACGGUAGCUAAUACCGCAUAAUGUCGCAAGACCAAAGAGGGGGACCUUCGGGCCUCUUGCCAUCGGAUGUGCCCAGGUGGGAUUAGCUUGUUGGUGGGGUAACGGCUCACC
This 272-nucleotide ribosomal RNA is filed under the name Escherichia coli. RNAcentral's name for it is "partial 16S ribosomal RNA". It matches the Rfam family "Bacterial small subunit ribosomal RNA", at positions 1 to 269 of the family's 1533-position model. The record is from RNAcentral. Lineage: Bacteria; Pseudomonadati; Pseudomonadota; Gammaproteobacteria; Enterobacterales; Enterobacteriaceae.